RNAcentral lists this unclassified non-coding RNA (253 nucleotides) under uncultured Halomonadaceae bacterium. RNAcentral's name for it is "contains 16S-23S intergenic spacer region". It matches the Rfam family "Bacterial small subunit ribosomal RNA", at positions 524 to 776 of the family's 1533-position model. Lineage: Bacteria; Pseudomonadati; Pseudomonadota; Gammaproteobacteria; Oceanospirillales; Halomonadaceae. The record is from RNAcentral.
UACGGAGGGUGCGAGCGUUAAUCGGAAUUACUGGGCGUAAAGCGCGCGUAGGCGGCCUGUUAAGCCGGUUGUGAAAGCCCCUGGCUCAACCUGGGAACGGCAUCCGGAAAUGUCCGGCUAGAGUGCAGGAGAGGAAGGUAGAAGUCCCGGUGUAGCGGUGAAAUGCGUAGAGAUCGGGAGGAAUACCAGUGGCGAAGGCGGACUUCUGGACUGACACUGACACUGAGGUGCGAAAGCGUGGGUAGCAAACAGG